Molecule: long non-coding RNA, 305 nt
Organism: Chelmon rostratus (copperband butterflyfish)
Lineage: Eukaryota; Metazoa; Chordata; Actinopteri; Chaetodontiformes; Chaetodontidae
Exons: 3
Source: RefSeq, a predicted model, not a curated record
AGGUGCAUUUCUAGCCAACCCACAGUCAGUCCUCCUCGUCCUGCCCAACACUCAGAUGAAGGGGAAGGUUGCGGCCCUCCUUCCCAAUCAGCCGGCCCACGAGGCUGUUGUGGGCGAGGAUUUUGAGAGAGAUGUCCUCCGUCCUACGAACACACACCCACACACAUUCAGGAUAACCUUUGUCUUCUUGAGGAGAGUGUAACUUUGAGUGCCUUCAGGAGGAGGAAGCGACAGUGAAAGUGAUAGUAAGAGAAACAGAAACACGCCAUGACUUCCUUCUGGUCUGCAAAGGCCUCUGUCAGAAG